This 320-nucleotide ribosomal RNA is filed under the name uncultured eukaryote. RNAcentral describes it as "partial 18S ribosomal RNA". It matches the Rfam family "Eukaryotic small subunit ribosomal RNA", at positions 1470 to 1796 of the family's 1831-position model. The record is from RNAcentral.
CCCCUAGAUGUUCUGGGCCGCACGCGCGCUACACUGAACAGUUCAACAAGUCUUAACCUUGGCCGAUAGGUCUGGGUAAUCUUUGAACGCUGUUCGUGAUUGGGAUAGACCUUUGCAAUUAUGGGUCUUCAACGAGGAAUUCCUAGUAAACGCAAGUCAUCAGCUUGCAUUGAUUACGUCCCUGCCCUUUGUACACACCGCCCGUCGCACCUACCGAUUGAAUGGUCCGGUGAAAUCUCGGGACGGCGGCUUGGUCGCUUCCGUCCGACUGCUGAAACUUGAUUAAACCAUAUCAUUUAGAGGAAGGUGAAGUCGUAACA